UACGUAGGCAGCGAGCGUUGUUCGGAGUUACUGGGCGUAAAGGGUGUGUAGGCGGUUGUUUAAGUUUGGUGUGAAAUCUCCUGGCUUAACCGGGAGGGUGCGCCGAAUACUGAAUGACUAGAGUGCGGGAGAGGUGAGUGGAAUUCCUGGUGUAGCGGUGAAAUGCGUAGAUAUCAAGAGGAACACCGGUGGUGUAGACGGCUCACUGGACCGUAACUGACGCUGAGACACGAAAGCGUGGGUAGCAAACAGG
RNAcentral lists this ribosomal RNA (253 nucleotides) under uncultured bacterium. RNAcentral's name for it is "partial 16S ribosomal RNA". It matches the Rfam family "Bacterial small subunit ribosomal RNA", at positions 524 to 776 of the family's 1533-position model. The record is from RNAcentral.